This 324-nucleotide long non-coding RNA is filed under the name Rhinopithecus bieti (black snub-nosed monkey). Its description in RNAcentral is "lncRNA (ENSRBIG00000046456.1)". The record is from RNAcentral. Lineage: Eukaryota; Metazoa; Chordata; Mammalia; Primates; Cercopithecidae.
AGACCAUGAAGGGGCUGCUGCUGUAGUGUGCAUGGCUGGAGUGUUCUGCCUGGUGCAAGGUGAAGGUUGGCAUGAACUCCUGAAAACCACUCCUGAGAAAGUGAAGCUGCCUACUUCAUUGAUCAAGAUGUAUCAGAAGUUUGCAGGCAGACAGCCAUUGUGUGCUGGGAGGAGAGCAGAGGAUCCAGGGAGCAGACUGCAGGGAGUUUGGCUGAAGCAAGAUGACCCCAAUGCUGGAGAAGAGCCCUCAAGAUGGAACAGCCUCCUUUGGUGGGAAGAAGUUCACAAGCUGAAGUUGGAGCUGAAGGUGUAAACUGAUCUUCC